UACAGAGGUCCCGAGCGUUGUUCGGAUUCAUUGGGCGUAAAGGGUGCGUAGGCGGCGGGGUAAGUCUGAUGUGAAAGGCCAAGGCUCAACCUUGGUAUGGCAUUGGAUACUGCCUUGCUAGAGUCCUGGAGAGGAGACUGGAAUUUACGGUGUAGCAGUGAAAUGCGUAGAGAUCGUAAGGAAGACCAGUGGCGAAGGCGAGUCUCUGGACAGGAACUGACGCUGAGGCACGAAGGCCAGGGGAGCAAACGGG
Molecule: ribosomal RNA, 253 nt
Filed under: uncultured bacterium
Lineage: Bacteria
Description: partial 16S ribosomal RNA
Rfam family: Bacterial small subunit ribosomal RNA
Source: RNAcentral